UACGUAGGGGGCUAGCGUUGUCCGGAAUCAUUGGGCGUAAAGAGCGUGUAGGCGGCCCGGUAAGUCCGCUGUGAAAGUCGGGGGCUCAACCCUCGAAUGCCGGUGGAUACUGUCGGGCUAGAGUGCGGAAGAGGCGAGUGGAAUUCCUGGUGUAGCGGUGAAAUGCGCAGAUAUCAGGAGGAACACCGAUUGCGAAGGCAGCUCGCUGGGACGUAACUGACGCUGAGGAGCGAAAGUGUGGGGAGCGAACAGG
This 253-nucleotide ribosomal RNA is filed under the name uncultured bacterium. RNAcentral describes it as "partial 16S ribosomal RNA". It matches the Rfam family "Bacterial small subunit ribosomal RNA", at positions 524 to 776 of the family's 1533-position model. The record is from RNAcentral.